GGCUUCUUCGCUUUUAGAUUUUUAUUUCUGUGGAUCGAAUUCAAGAUAUUUUUUUUAACAAUUUUUAUCUUGACUCGAUAUUCAGUCUCCACCUGAAUUUGAGAGCUUCUGGAUCUCGUCCCUAUAUCCUGGGAUAAUUGCGUGCUACUCAUGGAUGGACAAACAUGGGAACGAGCCAGAUUGCUCGAUCCCAUUUCCGUCAUGUGUUGUGCACCUCUUGACCUGAAACCUACU
Molecule: long non-coding RNA, 234 nt
Filed under: Elaeis guineensis (African oil palm)
Lineage: Eukaryota; Viridiplantae; Streptophyta; Magnoliopsida; Arecales; Arecaceae
Description: long non-coding RNA (EGUI_LNC030578)
Source: RNAcentral